CGGACGGGUGAGUAACGCGUAGAUAAUCUACCUUAAAGACUGGGACAACAGUUGGAAACGACUGCUAAUACCGGAUAAGCUAAACGGAAGGCAUCUUCUGUUUAGGAAAGGAGGCCUCUUAACAAUGCUCCCGCUUUUAGAUGAGUCUGUGUCUGAUUAGCUAGUUGGUGGGGUAACGGCUUACCAAGGCGACGAUCAGUAGUCGGCCUGAGAGGGUGACCGGCCACAUUGGGACUGAGACACGGCCCAAACUCCUACGGAAGGCAGCAG
RNAcentral lists this ribosomal RNA (270 nucleotides) under uncultured bacterium. RNAcentral's name for it is "partial 16S ribosomal RNA". It matches the Rfam family "Bacterial small subunit ribosomal RNA", at positions 99 to 354 of the family's 1533-position model. The record is from RNAcentral.